This 173-nucleotide non-coding RNA is filed under the name Virgibacillus chiguensis. The record is from RNAcentral. Lineage: Bacteria; Bacillati; Bacillota; Bacilli; Caryophanales; Bacillaceae.
UCUGGGGUGACCCAGAAUCUGAAGGAAGUCGGCGGCAAAUCUCCGCCCUUAGGAACACGAACUUCAUAGAAGGCUAGGUGUACUUGGAUGAGACUGCAUAACAAGUCAAAAUCCUUACUGCAAAAGGGUACACAGAGUAAAUGAAGUGGGGAUAUGGAGAGGAAGAAUGUGUG